AUGGAGCUCGUAUUCUCUGAUGAAGCCCUGGCCAUUGUCGUCCCCAUAGCUGCCUACUGGGUCUACUCCGGCAUGUACAUGGCGCUUGGACGGUCCAUGGACCAGUACAGGCUACACCCAAGGGACGAGGAGCGCAGCAAGAACCUCGUGCCCAAGCGCGACGUCGUCAAGGUCGUCCUCCUCCAGCAGCUCCUGCAGGCCGCCGUCGCCGCCACCGUUUUCACGGUACUGGGAGGCGAAAUCCCCGCCGCCGGCGAAUCACGGCAGCGGACGACCUGGGCCAUCUGCCUGACGGUGGCGCUGCAGAUCGCUGUGGGCAUGGCCGUGCUGGACGGGUGGCAGUACGCGUGGCACCGGUACAUGCACCGCAACAAGUUCCUGUACCGGCACGUCCACUCGUGGCACCACCGCCUCGUCGUGCCCUACGCCUUCGGCGCGCAGUACAACCACCCCGUGGAGGGCCUCCUCCUGGACACCGUCGGCGGUGCGCUCGCCUUCCUCGCCUCCGGCAUGUCGCCCCGCGUCUCCAUCUUCUUCUUCACGCUCUGCACCAUCAAGGGCGUCGACGACCACUGUGGCCUGUGGCUGCCGGGGAACGUGUUCCGCCUCUGCUUCUGGAACAACACGGCGUACCACGACGUCCACCAUCAGCCGCGCGCCGGCAGAUACAACUUCUCGCAGCCCUUCUUUGUGACGUGGGACAAGGUGUUUGGGACGCACAUGCCCUACGUCGUCGAGCACAGGCCCCAAGGAGGGCUCCACGUUCGGCCCAUGGAAGCCCUUAGCUAA
This 789-nucleotide ribosomal RNA is filed under the name Triticum aestivum (bread wheat). Its description in RNAcentral is "partial small subunit ribosomal RNA". The record is from RNAcentral. Lineage: Eukaryota; Viridiplantae; Streptophyta; Magnoliopsida; Poales; Poaceae.